ACUGCUCAGUAACACGUGGAUAAUCUGCCCUUGGGUGGGGGAUACACUCGAGAAAUUGAGCAUAAUACCCCAUAGGUCUAGUAUGCUGGAAUGCUUCUAGACUGAAAACUCCGGUGCCCAAGGAUGAAUCUGCGGCCUAUCAGGCUGUAGUGAGUGUAAGGGACUCACUAACCGACGACGGGUACGGGCCUUGAGAGAGGUUGCCCGGAGAUGGACUCUGAGACACGAGUCCAGGCCCUACGGGGCGCAGCAGGCGCGAAAACUUCACAAUGCGGGAAACCGUGAUGAGGGAAUUCCAAGUGCUAGCAAUUUAUUGUUAGCUGUUUUCAUGCCUAAAAAGCAUGUAGAGUAAGAGCUGGGUAAGACUGGUGCCAGCCGCCGCGGUAAUACCAGCAGCUCAAGUGGUGGUCGUUAUUAUUGGGCCUAAAGCGUCCGUAGCCGGUCUGGUAAACUCUUGGGUAAAUCGGGCAGCUCAACUGUCCGAAUUCUAAGGAGACUGCCAGACUUGGGACCGGGAGAGGUCAGAGGUACUCCUGGGGUAGGGGUGAAAUCCUGUAAUCCUAUGGGGACCACCAGUGGCGAAGGCGUCUGAUCAGAACGGGUCCGACGGUAAGGGACGAAGCCCUGGGGCACAAACCGGAUUAGAUACCCGGGUAGUCCAGGGUGUAAACGCUGCAGGCUUGGUGUUGGGGGUCCUACGAGGGCACUCAGUGCCGGAGAGAAGUUGUUAAGCCUGCCGCCUGGGGAGUACGUCCGCAAGGAUGAAACUUAAAGGAAUUGGCGGGGGAGCAC
This 792-nucleotide ribosomal RNA is filed under the name uncultured archaeon. RNAcentral's name for it is "bacterial SSU rRNA". It matches the Rfam family "Archaeal small subunit ribosomal RNA", at positions 85 to 879 of the family's 1478-position model. The record is from RNAcentral.